GGAAUCUUCCACAAUGGACGCAAGUCCGAUGGAGCAACGCCGCGUGAGUGAAGAAGGGUUUCGGCUCGUAAAGCUCUGUUGUUAAAGAAGAACACGUAUGAGAGUAACUGUUCAUACGUUGACGGUAUUUAACCAGAAAGUCACGGCUAACUACGUGCCAG
Molecule: ribosomal RNA, 161 nt
Filed under: uncultured bacterium
Lineage: Bacteria
Description: partial 16S rRNA
Rfam family: Bacterial small subunit ribosomal RNA
Source: RNAcentral